This 75-nucleotide transfer RNA is filed under the name Candidatus Gottesmanbacteria bacterium RIFCSPLOWO2_01_FULL_48_11. Its description in RNAcentral is "tRNA-Arg". It matches the Rfam family "tRNA". Rfam says of the family: Transfer RNA (tRNA) molecules are approximately 80 nucleotides in length. Their secondary structure includes four short double-helical elements and three loops (D, anti-codon, and T loops). Lineage: Bacteria; Candidatus Gottesmaniibacteriota. The record is from RNAcentral.
GUCCUCGUAGUCCAAUGGAUAGAAUGCGGCCCUGCGAAGGCUGUGAUGACAGUUCGACUCUGUCCGAGGACGCCA